GAGUUCGUAGCUUAAUUGGAUAGAGUUUAUGACUACGGAUCAUACGGUUAGAGGUUCGAUUCCUCUCGAACUCA
RNAcentral lists this transfer RNA (74 nucleotides) under Trentepohlia odorata. Its description in RNAcentral is "tRNA-Arg". It matches the Rfam family "tRNA". Rfam says of the family: Transfer RNA (tRNA) molecules are approximately 80 nucleotides in length. Their secondary structure includes four short double-helical elements and three loops (D, anti-codon, and T loops). Further hydrogen bonds mediate the characteristic L-shaped molecular structure. tRNAs have two regions of fundamental functional importance: the anti-codon, which is responsible for specific mRNA codon recognition, and the 3' end, to which the tRNAs corresponding amino acid is attached (by aminoacyl-tRNA synthetases). tRNAs cope with the degeneracy of the genetic code in two manners: having more than one tRNA (with a specific anti-codon) for a particular amino acid; and 'wobble' base-pairing, i.e. permitting non-standard base-pairing at the 3rd anti-codon position. Lineage: Eukaryota; Viridiplantae; Chlorophyta; Ulvophyceae; Trentepohliales; Trentepohliaceae. The record is from RNAcentral.